UAAUUAAUUCUGUUGUUUAAUUCAGACUAGUAAUGAAUUAAGGAUAUGAAAUACUUAUUAGAUGGAGGCCCAUGGGUCACAUGGUCACCUGAGCAUAUUAUGCUCAAUUUGAUAAAACAUGUAAUAUGUAAAUUAUUGAAUUAUAUUGACUUUUUCCUUGGUAAAGCCCAAUAUGAAGAAGUGUGCAUUUAGAGGCAAACACCUUAGUGCGGGUAUUACUGUCUCAUGACAGCAUCUAGUUAGUUGCUUUUUUUUCAGAAAAUUCCUUAUCACAUGGAGUUGGGCUUAUUUAUCUCCAGAUGCUUUUCUUGUAUCUCCUUCCAUCAUUGGUUUGGUGGAUUCACCAAUCUAAAGGAAAGUAAAAAAAAGUGUCUGAUGUGGACCCCAUACCACAGAGCUUGCCUCUAUCCAUGAGGAUGUGGACCCUACACCACCUGAGCCUGGAUUGAAUCUAACUAGCACCUUUGAUGUGUCUAAGAGGGCAAGAGGAUGACGAUGAAGAAAUAGCUGAAUGCUCCAUACAGGAUCUGGUCCUUCCAGACACAAUUCUACAGAUGUUCCUAUAACCUAUACCCUGGUUUCGAAGAAGUAAAUUCAAGUUGGUCAGCAGCGAUGGUUAUAGGACUACACCAAGAAGAGCAGCAAAGGUGACUUCACCUACUGGUGAUGCUCCAAGCGUUCCGAAACCAUAAACUGUCCUGCAACAGUAUCACAUAAAGGAAACACCUUCAGACUAAACUCGAGGGAGCAUAUCCACCCAGCUGACAAAGGAGCCUUGAAGAAAACUGUUUGCAGGAACUUAAAAAAAUAUAUUCUAAAUAAUGUUACAAUGGUCUUUUCAAUACCCAAAUCUGAAUGUCAUUUACAAUUAUGAAUCUUAGAUUAACUGAAUAUCUUCUAUCUCAAUUUAGGUGAAAGCAACAGCUUGUCAAGACAUUCAUAAGCCUGCCAGGAUGUAUUGUGGAGGAUGUCAUGCUAGAAAACAUCACGCCAGAGGACCACGACCUCCCUAAGAUCUGCAACCUUAGGAGAAUAGCUAACCAAGUCCGAGCAGAUAUGCACCCAGAGGAG
Molecule: long non-coding RNA, 1071 nt
Organism: Saccostrea cuccullata (small rock oyster)
Lineage: Eukaryota; Metazoa; Mollusca; Bivalvia; Ostreida; Ostreidae
Exons: 3
Source: RefSeq, a predicted model, not a curated record